AGAAUCAACGCUGGCGGCGUGCCUAACACAUGCAAGUCGCACGAGAAAGGGACUUCGGUCCUGAGUACAGUGGCGCACGGGUGAGUAACACGUGAAUCAUCUACCUUCGAGUGUGGAAUAACUGAGAGAAAUCUUAGCUAAUACCUCAUAAUACCUACGGGUCAAAGCAGCAAUGCGCUUGAAGAGGAGUUCGCGGCAGAUUAGUUAGUUGGCGGGGUAAUGGCCCACCAAGACGAUGAUCUGUAUCCGGCCCUGAGAGGGCGCGACGGAACGACACUGGAACGUGAAACACGGUCCAGACUCCUACGGGAGGCAGCAGUGGGAAUUUUGCGCAAUGGGGAAACCCUGACGCAGCAACGCCGCGUGGAGGAUGAAAUCCCUUGGGAUGUAAACUCCUUUGAUAGGGAAGAUAAAUGACGGUACCUAUAGAAGAAGCCCGGCUAACUCGUGCCAGCAGCCGC
Molecule: ribosomal RNA, 461 nt
Filed under: uncultured bacterium
Lineage: Bacteria
Description: SSU rRNA
Rfam family: Bacterial small subunit ribosomal RNA
Source: RNAcentral